Molecule: ribosomal RNA, 324 nt
Filed under: uncultured eukaryote
Lineage: Eukaryota
Description: partial 18S ribosomal RNA
Rfam family: Eukaryotic small subunit ribosomal RNA
Source: RNAcentral
CCCUUAGAUGUUCUGGGCCGCACGCGCGCUACACUGAUGCAUUCAACGAGUCUAAAACCUGCUCUGAUAGGGGUGGGUAAUCUUUUGAAUGUGCAUCGUGAUUGGGAUAGACUAUUGCAAUUAUUGGUCUUCAACGAGGAAUUCCUAGUAGACGUAGUUCAUCAGACUGCAUCGAUUACGUCCCUGCCCUUUGUACACACCGCCCGUCGCUCCUACCGAUUGGAUGAUCCGGUGAGCUAUUCGGACCUUCGCUUCGUCGAUUUUCGGCUUUGUGAGGGAAAGUCUCGCGAACCUUAUCAUCUAGAGGAAGGAGAAGUCGUAACA